This 405-nucleotide ribosomal RNA is filed under the name Escherichia sp. BAKZL1117. Its description in RNAcentral is "partial 16S ribosomal RNA". Lineage: Bacteria; Pseudomonadati; Pseudomonadota; Gammaproteobacteria; Enterobacterales; Enterobacteriaceae. The record is from RNAcentral.
UUCAGCAUCCGGACGUUCGCCAAUUUUCGCCUCCCACGUCUCACCGAGCGUGGUGUUUACGAAGGUUUUACGUUUUCCCGUAUCCCCUUUCGUUUUCAUCCAGUCUUUGACAAUCUGCACCCAGGUGGUGAACGGGCUGUACGCUGUCCAGAUGUGAAAGGUCACACUGUCAGGUGGCUCAAUCUCUUCACCGGAUGACGAAAACCAGAGAAUGCCAUCACGGGUCCAGAUCCCGGUCUUUUCGCAGAUAUAACGGGCAUCAGUAAAGUCCAGCUCCUGCUGGCGGAUGACGCAGGCAUUAUGCUCGCAGAGAUAAAACACGCUGGAGGGGUCAUCCGGCGUCCAUUUGAGGCCAAACGGCGUCUCUUUGUCGCCAAAUUUAAGAUACUGCUCCUCCCCGCAAUG